Long non-coding RNA from Stylophora pistillata, 971 nucleotides. The record is from RefSeq and is a predicted model, not a curated record. NCBI's taxonomy places the organism in Eukaryota, Metazoa, Cnidaria, Anthozoa, Scleractinia, Pocilloporidae.
AUUAUUAUCAUUAUUUCGCUACCCACAAGAGGAUCUCUAGGGAAAGCCGAGUAGCCCCUGGGGACGAUUACUGAAAAAGUGGGAUUAUGGGAAGCAUUUUCUCUGAUUGUGGUGAGUGACUACAUCUCAAAUGUCGCUGCGAGGAUUCCGCUAGAGUACCUGCAGAAGAGAUCAACUUGCUUUUGGCAAUAUUCUCUUAUGAAUUGCUACUUUUUUACAACCAAUAUCUUUCGGCGUUUGGACAAAUUUUACCCGGAAGGUGCUGUUUUGGAUCAAGUGAGAGAAACACCAAAGGAUUUUCUACCUGUCAUUUAGUACAUAAGUGAUCUGCCUUUAAGCCUGGGAUCCUGGUUUGGAGUCAAACUCUUACUAACUGUGAAGGCCAAAAUUAACAUGUGAUGCAUAAAUUGUACAGAUAGGCAAGGUCACUCCAAGAUAGAAAGUUAUCAUCUAUUGGGACAAGUAAACUCAAGUGAUAAGUAUUUUGUGCACCAUCUUGUGUUUUACUGGGCUUGAUCAGUCAUCUCCAUUAGAAGAUAUAACAGAUUAACAAUUGUAGAAACCCACGCACAACUUGAAGAUACAUAGGCUGACAUGGAAGACUAAUGGUACUCAAGAUUUAUAGUUUUGAGAGACCAAAGUGAAGAAAAGUCAAGAGAUCAAGCGACAGAACCUGGAACCAAUUUAAGACAUGACAUGGGAGACAGAUGGUACUCAGAAUUCGAAGUUUGGAGAGACCGAUUUGCAGAAACACAAAGAGAUCAAGGGGCACAACAUGGAACCAAUUUAAGAUUUGAGACUGAAAGGUUAGUGGGGCCUGUCUUGAACUGUCCUAUAUUAACAGGAGCUCAAGGAAAGCCGAAAGUAGAAGGAAAGUUGAGAAAACCAGCAGGUUGGGAAAGGGGAAGUCAGCCGCCCACAGGCAGCCCAAGCUCAAUACCAGGAAAGCGGACGUGACUCUUAACGUGUUG